GCGGGUGUAGCACAAUGGUAGUGCAGCAGCUUCCCAAGCUGACUACGUGGGUUCGAUUCCCAUCACCCGCUCCA
Molecule: transfer RNA, 74 nt
Filed under: Alphaproteobacteria bacterium
Lineage: Bacteria; Pseudomonadati; Pseudomonadota; Alphaproteobacteria
Also listed under: 1 other name
Description: tRNA-Gly
Rfam family: tRNA
About the family: Transfer RNA (tRNA) molecules are approximately 80 nucleotides in length.
Source: RNAcentral